Molecule: long non-coding RNA, 2448 nt
Organism: Gallus gallus (chicken)
Lineage: Eukaryota; Metazoa; Chordata; Aves; Galliformes; Phasianidae
Source: Ensembl
UUUCUUUCUUUCUUUCUUUUUUCAAUGAACUUCAUAUUUUUAAAGCAGGAGUCUAAAGGAGAAAUCAGAGUGUAAUUGGAAUAUUGUGCUGCAUUUUCUUUCCUGUGACUCUGUGUCUGUUUAGGUCAUCAGCUGCACCCUCAGUAUUAUUGUUGAUGAGAGCAGAGACACCAGGGGUGCAAAAUAUUUCUGUACCAAACAGAAUUCCCGAAUUAGGUGUGUAUACAGUCUCAACUCUGUUAACCUUUGGUUCUGCAUGGGGCAUCUUUAGUUCAUCUUGUAGACAAGACAGAUUGAAAAGGAGCCUCAAACUAAGGAGUAUGUUACAGCUAGACCUGCGAUAUUGCCAUGCCUGAAGAACAUGUGGUUGUGUAUUUAUUGGUGCAGGGAGUCACCUGUUUGUACAGCUACUUGAGACCCACAAGCCCAUGAGGAUGAAGGAACUGCAACUGUUGCUGAAUUAUGCUUCUUUCCACAGAUGAAGUGAUAAUAAGUAGAUGAGAGAAUAGAUGUUUCUGGUAUAAUUGAGAAUCUGAACAUCCAUUUCAUUGUAGUACUGUGUGCAGGAGGUACAGCAAUUGGCAAUUAUGUGAGUAAAACAGCACUGUUGCUUAGACAGUUAUUUCUCCAAUAUGCCUGAAUAUUUUUUCAUUUAUAAACCUAGUGUUAUUUUAUGGAGCAGAUGACCUAAGGAACAGAAGUUUGCAGAUCUUAAAACCUUCUGCACUAUGACUUGGCAGCUGAACCAGAAUGGCAAAUUCAGAUUUCACAGAAACCCCUUGGCUGUGGCGAUCUCAUCGCUCCAGAAAGCAUGAUGGCAGCUGUGCAUUCUCAGCAGCAGCAGUUCCCUGGAUUCUGAUUUCCUGGAUGCAUGGAAAGCAGCUCUGUAUAACUUCAAGCCCUUUCUUCUGAGACCCAACAAUGAAUCAUGGCUUCUAUUAAAGUAAAGAGUGUCUGCAUGCAGGGAUCUUUGAAGAGGUGUUCUGAGAUCCACAGCCUACGCAAGAGUGUGUAAGAGACUGCAAUAAAGGAAACUAUAAUGAUUUUCCUGUUCUUGUGUUCUCUCCCAGUUGAGCACCUCAAAGCUGAAUGCUGCUACUCACUUGAACCAGCCUUUGCCAUCCUGGCCUUGAAGAGUUUGGGCCAUAGAAGAGGAAAGUACAGUAACUGUCCUGCUUUCUGAUAGCUGGCACUUAUUCUUGAGCUUGUCAACACCAUUUCUUCUAGGCCAAAGAGAAGAUGCCAAAACAGUGCUUGACAAAGGAAAAUAUUGAACUGUGGAGAGAGGAGACCAGCACAGUGGACUCUGCUUUUGCUCUAGAGCUUACGGGUGACUUAUUUCUCUGGCCAGAAAGAAAGAAACUGUAGAUUUCUCUCAUAGCUGACUAAAGUAUUGGCAAAUGGCUGCAUCUUCUAAGCAUGUCUGAGGGGUGAAGUAACCUUAAGUUUCCCUUGCUUUUGUUGUAUAAACAGCUUUAGUAUUGAUAUUAGCAGUUUGCACUUGAGCAAUGUCAUUGUCAUAUGAUGUGUGAGUCAUUCAUAGACAAUCAAAAAAGAGUUACCCAGGUCAUGCUUUUGGCCAUCUUAAGCCAGAGAUUGUAUUUCCCUUGGGCAGGCAACCAAAGGGAAAACAGAGACCAAAAGAGCUGGAAUUCAGUGAACUUGAGUAUUUGCUAUAACCUGGGCUAGGAGAAAAGUGAAGGCACAACAAAGGAGCUGCUAGGUGAAGACAAUCAUGCUCACUCUUAAUAGUGGUGUUGGCACAUUUUCAGACAGUCUUCAGUGUACCAUGUGGUUGGCAUGGCAUUUGUAUUAGAGUGGCAAGUUGCUUCUGUGGAAGUUAUGCACUCCUUUUGCUAUUGAUUACAUGGAAGUGUGGUAUGUAAUACAGCCUAACUUUCAGGUUUAAUACAUGCAAGUUCUGGACCAGAGUAUUACUUGGGGUAAAUCAUUGUGGUUUCUAUUGCUUCAGUUGAAUCUUGUUUGAUUUCUGCCUGAUGUGGAGCUGCUUUUUGUGACACUUCAUUUUGUGAAUAGCAGGUACUUGGAAUAAUGCUAGCUGAGCCUUUUUUCUUUUUCUCCAUUUUUUAUUUCACUGGAGAGCUGAAAUAUUUUUACAGGCUUGUUAGCACUCUUACAAACAGCAAACUACUGUGUAUGAGGAGGCUGUUGUUGUUGCCAGCUCCAUGUUUUUAUGACAAAUCUUGUGAUGUUUUGUUUUUCCUAAGAACCUCAGGUCUUGCAUUUCAUCAGAAUCUCUGUUUUCAUUUAAAAAAAUAAAAAUAAAAAAUUCCAGUUUGAUGUUGGCAUCAAAUGAGAGAAAAACUUGAAAAUGUUUGCAGCUUCAUCAUGAUGGCAAAAAAAAAACCAAACCUAAAUGCAUACAGGAACCCCCAAAUAUAGUAUUUUGCUUUAGAAAAGCAAACAAAAAAUCCCAAACCACCAAGC